Molecule: ribosomal RNA, 183 nt
Filed under: uncultured Clostridium sp.
Lineage: Bacteria; Bacillati; Bacillota; Clostridia; Eubacteriales; Clostridiaceae
Description: partial 16S ribosomal RNA
Rfam family: Bacterial small subunit ribosomal RNA
Source: RNAcentral
UGGCCUACCAAGACAGCGAUGCGUAGCCGACCUGAGAGGGUGAUCGGCCACAUUGGAACUGAGAUACGGUCCAGACUCCUACGGGAGGCAGCAGUGGGGAAUAUUGCACAAUGGGCGAAAGCCUGAUGCAGCACGCCGCGUGAGUGAUGAAGGUCUUCGGAUUGUAAAGCUCUGUCUUUUGGG